This 426-nucleotide ribosomal RNA is filed under the name uncultured bacterium. RNAcentral's name for it is "bacterial SSU rRNA". It matches the Rfam family "Bacterial small subunit ribosomal RNA", at positions 354 to 796 of the family's 1533-position model. The record is from RNAcentral.
GUGAGGAAUUUUCCGCAAUGGGCGAAAGCCUGACGGAGCAAUGCCGCGUGAAGGAUGAAGGCCUAUGGGUUGUAAACUUCUUUUCUCAGAAAAGAAUUAUGACGGUAUCUGAGGAAUAAGCAUCGGCUAACUCUGUGCCAGCAGCCGCGGUAAGACAGAGGAUGCAAGCGUUAUCCGGAAUGAUUGGGCGUAAAGCGUCUGUAGGUUGUUUAAAAAGUAUUCUGUCAAAGAUUAGGGCUUAACCCUAGAUAGGCAGAAUAAACUUUUAAGCUAGAGUUUGGUAGAGGCAGAGGGAAUUCCCGGUGGAGCGGUGAAAUGCGUAGAUAUCGGGAGGAACACCAAAGGCGAAGGCACUCUGCUGGGCCAAUACUAACACUGAGAGACGAAAGCGAGGGGAGCCAAUGGGAUUAGAUACCCCAGUAGUCC